Molecule: ribosomal RNA, 437 nt
Filed under: Burkholderia sp.
Lineage: Bacteria; Pseudomonadati; Pseudomonadota; Betaproteobacteria; Burkholderiales; Burkholderiaceae
Description: bacterial SSU rRNA
Rfam family: Bacterial small subunit ribosomal RNA
Source: RNAcentral
CAGCUACGUUCAGUAGACUGGCGAGCUGAUCAGCAUGCCGCGUGUGUGAAGAAGGCCUUCGGGUUGUAAAGCACUUUUGUCCGGAAAGAAAACUUCUGCCCUAAUACGGCGGGAGGAUGACGGUACCGGAAGAAUAAGCACCGGCUAACUACGUGCCAGCAGCCGCGGUAAUACGUAGGGUGCGAGCGUUAAUCGGAAUUACUGGGCGUAAAGCGUGCGCAGGCGGUUUGUUAAGACCGAUGUGAAAUCCCCGGGCUCAACCUGGGAACUGCAUUGGUGACUGGCAAGCUAGAGUAUGGCAGAGGGGGGUAGAAUUCCACGUGUAGCAGUGAAAUGCGUAGAGAUGUGGAGGAAUACCGAUGGCGAAGGCAGCCCCCUGGGCCAAUACUGACGCUCAUGCACGAAAGCGUGGGGAGCAAACAGGAUAAGAUACCCCC